This 440-nucleotide ribosomal RNA is filed under the name uncultured bacterium. RNAcentral's name for it is "partial 16S ribosomal RNA". It matches the Rfam family "Bacterial small subunit ribosomal RNA", at positions 338 to 795 of the family's 1533-position model. The record is from RNAcentral.
CCUACGGGUGGCAGCAGUGGGGGAUAUUGCACAAUGGGGGGAACCCUGAUGCAGCGACGCCGCGUGUGGGAAGACGGUCCUCUGGAUUGUAAACCACUGUCCCCAGGGACGAAAAUGACGGUACCUGGGGAGGAAGCGCCGGCUAACUACGUGCCAGCAGCCGCGGUAAUACGGAGGGAGCGAGCGUUGUCCGGAAUUACUGGGUGUAAAGGGAGCGUAGGCGGGGAUGCAAGUUGGGUGUCAAAACUACCGGCUCAACUGGUAGUCGCACUCAAAACUGCAGCUCUUGAGUGAAGUAGAGGCAGCCUGCAUUCCUAGUGUAGCGGUGAAAUGCGUCGAUAUUAGGAGGAACACCAGUGGCGACGGCGGCCUGCUGGGCUUUUACUGACGCUGCGGCUCGAAAGUGUGGGGAGCAAACAGGAUUAGAUACCCUUGUAGUC